RNAcentral lists this ribosomal RNA (274 nucleotides) under uncultured bacterium. Its description in RNAcentral is "partial 16S ribosomal RNA". It matches the Rfam family "Bacterial small subunit ribosomal RNA", at positions 523 to 796 of the family's 1533-position model. The record is from RNAcentral.
AUACGGAGGGUGCAAGCGUUACUGGGAAUCACUGGGCGUAAAGCGCGCGCAGGCGGGCUGAUAAGUUGGAUGUGAAAGCCUACGGCUCAACCGUAGAACUGCAUCCAAAACUGUCAGUCUAGAGUGUGGGAGAGGAAGAUGGAAUUAGUUGUGUAGGGGUAAAAUCCGUAGAGAUAACUGGGAAUACCAAAAGCGAAGGCAAUCUUCUGGAACACUACUGACGCUGAGGCGCGAAGGCGUGGGGAGCAAACAGGAUUAGAAACCCCAGUAGUCC